This 1634-nucleotide unclassified non-coding RNA is filed under the name Hevea brasiliensis (rubber tree). Lineage: Eukaryota; Viridiplantae; Streptophyta; Magnoliopsida; Malpighiales; Euphorbiaceae. The record is from RNAcentral.
AGAAAAUAGAAGUUCCAUUUGUGCCAGUAGAACAUCAUCUAUCAUGCGCUUCAGCUUCUCUGUUCCUACCUGAGAAUCAUCAACAGGAAACUUUCAUGAAAUCUGAGGAUUCCCAAGAUAGCAGCGAGUCAACGUUGGAACUGAAACCGAAGAGCAGCAAUAAGUUCAAUGCUACAACGUUUUCCACUUUCCAUGCUACAAGCUCUCCUGUAGAGUCCUUAGUCUCUGUGGUUGAGUUGGCAAUUGAGAAACUUGCGGAAGAAGUUUUACCCCAAGUGACAGCAGCUCCAAGGAUGGCCACAGAUACUAAAUCUUCAGCUUCAGCAAAUGAUUCCAGUGAGCAACAUGAAAAAACUGAAUUGUCUGUCUUUGCAAAGAAUAUUAUUGAGGCACAAGAAAAUGCUGUAAGGAUGAGCACUGAAUCAGUUACUGAAAACUUGAUUCAAGCGGAGGUGGGAAAGUCUCCAAGUUCAAUUGUGGAAAGCACAGUCCCUGCUGUGCAGUUAGCAAUUGAGAAAUCACAGCAAGAAUCUCCACAUUACAGCAUAACAGUUCUAGAGACAGUGACACAAGCUAAAUCAUUAGCUUUAGCAAGUCAGUCGAGUGAACAAUGUGAAAAGGUAGAAACUUCGGUCCACGGAAGGGGCGGUUAUGAGCCACAAGAAACUGUGGGAAGGUUCAGCACCGAAUCAAUUUCUGACAACUUGAAUAAUCAUGCAGAGAUGCGGAAAUCUCCAAGCUUCAAUCUUGAUCUCCGAAUAGAAGCAAGGGGUGAAGAAUCAGAUCAGACUCCACUACUUCAUGAGGAUAAAAAUGCAAUUGAAGGCUUACCAAUCCAGGCAGAUGUAAGCCUUCAAAACUCACUUCCGCAAGCUCAAUAUGGCCAAGAAUCAUUGAAGUAUCAAGCAAUGCCAGUGGAAGAAAAAGUGAUUACUCUGGAAAGAAACGACUCUGAGAAGUCAAGAACACCAUUCCUAGGGUUCUUGAAAGAAGAUGAGGAGGCUCGUGGUGCAGUUCUACCGAAGAAAAAAGAAAAUUAUGUUGCUGUAGAAAAAGCAACCAAGGAUCCAUGGAACUCAUCUGCCACUAAAGAAGUCUCGCCAACGCCUCCAAAAGGUAAAGAAAAGCACAAGCGCAGGCCAUCUCUCUUCACCAAUUGCAUGUGUUGUACAACUGUGAUUAAUUAAAAAGCUUAAGAUCGAAGUUAACAGUUUUACAGUUUGGUAUUCUGAAUUAAUUUGUUUCGGUAUUGGUUUCCCUUUCUAAUUCCAAGUUUUCAAGACGUGGGGUAUUGAUCAAUGGAGAGACUGUUGAUUGGUUUAGCAUAUUUGAGACUAACCAAGAAAGAGUGAGUACAACUUAUGUAACCCUCAUUAAUUGCUUUGUGUUCUUUCUCUGUCUAUACUUGUCCUAAACUUGCACAGCCCUGCAUGCAUUGUAUUUUUUCAUGCAAGUUCUCAUUAGUUGAAUCUCUUGAUGUAAUUUAUUGGGGUGUUUGUUGGAGAUAAAUUGGAAGGUUUGGAGAGGAUAUUGUAAAAUAGGCAGCUUUUGCUGCCUUUGACUGUAUCAUUUGUUUAUUCAUUGAAAAUACAAAUGUUUCUUAAUGUUAAUUUUGUAUUUAUUUUGAAAUUGGA